AGUAAGUGAGAACCCACAAUUAUUAUUCAUGCCUUAGAAGUUUAUUCAUAUACCAUCUAAGAAAAGGCUAUGCGGGUAGCAUGUUUGACUAUGUUAGAAGUAUAUAUCGUCUGUCGAAAUUUGACAUUUAUUUAGAAAAUAAUGUGUACCAAACAAACAUACGUUGAAAAUUAAAAUUGACCAUAGGUAUUUUGGACAGUCUUUUUCUGGACAUGAAAAAGCCAACAUGCUAUACAUGGGAGGCAUAGUUGUUUUUAAGCUGGGCAUAGUGGUUUGGACAGUCUAGACGAGUAAAUAUGGGAUACGUGCAUGCUGGGCAUAUUAGUUUGUAAGCUCGGCAACAAUCUCUUUGCUACUUUUCUACACAUUCAAAGGCCACCAACUUCUUAAUUUAA
RNAcentral lists this long non-coding RNA (395 nucleotides) under Hordeum vulgare. RNAcentral describes it as "long non-coding RNA (HVUL_LNC021358)". Lineage: Eukaryota; Viridiplantae; Streptophyta; Magnoliopsida; Poales; Poaceae. The record is from RNAcentral.